RNAcentral lists this ribosomal RNA (791 nucleotides) under uncultured bacterium. Its description in RNAcentral is "bacterial SSU rRNA". It matches the Rfam family "Bacterial small subunit ribosomal RNA", at positions 8 to 796 of the family's 1533-position model. The record is from RNAcentral.
AGAGUUUGAUCAUGGCUCAGAUUGAACGCUGGCGGAAUGCUUUACACAUGCAAGUCGAGCGGCAGCGCGGGGCAACCUGGCGGCGAGCGGCGAACGGGUGCGUAACACAUCGGAACAUGUCCAUUCGUGAGGGAUAGCCCGGCGAAAGCCGGAUUAAUACCGCAUGAGCCCGAGAGGGGAAAGUGGGGGACUCGCAAGAGCCUCACGCGGAUGGGUUGGCCGAUGUCCGAUUAGCUAGUUGGCGGGGUAAGAGCCCACCAAGGCGAUGAUCGGUAGCUGGUCUGAGAGGAUGAUCAGCCACACUGGGACUGAGACACGGCCCAGACUCCUACGGGAGGCAGCAGUGGGGAAUUUUGGACAAUGGGGGCAACCCUGAUCCAGCCAUUCCGCGUGAGUGAAGAAGGCCUUCGGGUUGUAAAGCUCUUUUGUCCGGAGCGAAAAGGUUACGGUGAAUAUCCGUGACUACUGACGGUACCGGAAGAAUAAGCACCGGCUAACUACGUGCCAGCAGCCGCGGUAAUACGUAGGGUGCGAGCGUUAAUCGGAAUUACUGGGCGUAAAGCGUGCGCAGGCGGUUUUGUAAGCCAGAUGUGAAAGCCCCGGGCUUAACCUGGGAAUGGCAUUUGGGACUGCAAGGCUGGAGUGUGGCAGAGGAGACUGGAAUUCCUGGUAGCAGUGAAAUGCGUAGAUAUCAGGAGGAAUACCGAUGGCGAAGGCAGGUCUCUGGGCUGACACUGACGCUCAUGCACGAAAGCGUGGGGAGCAAACAGGAUUAGAUACCCUAGUAGUCC